Lethenteron reissneri (Far Eastern brook lamprey) is the source of this 720-nucleotide long non-coding RNA. RefSeq lists it as uncharacterized. The record is from RefSeq and is a predicted model, not a curated record. NCBI's taxonomy places the organism in Eukaryota, Metazoa, Chordata, Hyperoartia, Petromyzontiformes, Petromyzontidae.
CCUCCGUGCGAUAUGUAACUGCGGCCCACGGCAAGAGCGUCGAGAAGGAGAGAGGAGAGGAGAGAGACGCUCACAACCUCGGCGGGAGGAGGAGGAGGAGAGAGCUGAGAAAUUGUCCAAGUCGGAUUCGUCCGCAUCGCGGGUCUCGCACAUGCGCGCUCUUAAACAGUCGUUCAAGGUGCGUGACGUCAUUUAUGGUCGGCCCCCAAUCCAAUAGCGGAUACAUUUCAAGAUCACACUCGCCGACUUCAAAGUUGUUCCGUGGACUCGUCUCCCCUCUCAUCUCGCUCUACUCCCUGCCACGCAAGCAAGGCUUUUCACAUCGAAGGUGCGUGACGUCAUUUAUGGACGGCCCCAUAGCGCACUGCGCUAUGAACCCAACCACCUGAGUUCAACUCUCGGCCACAGCGAACGUCAAUGGCGAGUGAUAAUUUGAACCAGUCCUGGUCUCAAGCCCCCCUUCACCAAACGGUACUGACCAGCGUGGUGAAGUAUGGUCAAAUAACCCCCGUGACUGACGCGGCGUGGAAGAGAGGCCUUCUUCAAUCCGAUAACGGAUUGGCAGCAGCACUGUGAGCUGGAUCGUGAUGCUCACUUGCAACUGUGCAUAUCUGACCCGGUUAUAAUUAAAAUACAUCAAUGACCUGGCAAGCACUACUACUAGUGACUGGCAGCAGGUUUUCGGCAAAAUUCAGAUCGGUCACAGUGUCUGACUCCACC